Mycena albidolilacea is the source of this 101-nucleotide non-coding RNA. NCBI's taxonomy places the organism in Eukaryota, Fungi, Basidiomycota, Agaricomycetes, Agaricales, Mycenaceae. The record is from the annotation of a GenBank genome assembly.
GGUUCGUUGGUGUAGUUGGUUUAUCACAUCUGUCUCACAUUUCCCGAAAAGCUGGCGAAAAUGUGCACAGGAGGUCCUGAGUUCGAUCCUCAGUCGAACCA